UCAGUUUAUGACACUACAUAUAUAUUAUAUAUGUUAUUGCUUCAUGAUCAACAAAAUCUUAGUGCAGUUAUCCAAGAAAAGAUUGCAUUUAGCUACAUGAACAUGCAACUUCAUAAGCAAAACCAGGUCAAUCCUAGGUAAAGUUUUCACUUAGGUAGACUAAAACCAAUAAAGUUCUCCAGUAACUUUCUGGGGAUCCCGGUUUGGAAACAAAAUCAAUGGAGUGAAUUAAAGUGAAAACAAUUUCUAAACAUUUAGCUAAUGCGUUUGGAAAGCCACAAUGUAAUUGAAUUUGUGUGUAAUUGGAGGUAAUUACACAAUUUGACAUGUUUGUCCGACUAUGUAAUUACACUGUAACUGUGUAAUUGGAAGUAAUUGAGGGGUUCCAAUUACACUCUUCAAUUCUCAUGGCCCCCCAUGAGAAUUGAAUGUAAUUACACUGUGUAAUUACUAAAAACUUUCCAUAUUAAACAUUAGCUAUUAAAAAAUUUUAUUUUCUCAUGUAAUUACUAACUAUUUUGCCAAACAAGAUAUUAGGAAUUCAUAUGUAAUUACCACCUCAUAUCCAAACACACCUUGUAUUUUAAAAUAUAGUGUAAUUACUAAACUGUGUAAUUACUACCCCAGUAAUUACCCUACCUAGGAAUUAUACAGUUACUUCCAAACACACCCUUAAUAUUUUUAAGUACCUCUGGGAUACCAACGAAUGCAGAGAGCUCUCACACUGCUGACAUCAACUACAACAUGGGAGAAAAGGCUAGCUAAUUCUGG
Long non-coding RNA from Cannabis sativa, 771 nucleotides. RefSeq lists it as uncharacterized. The transcript has 2 exons. The record is from RefSeq and is a predicted model, not a curated record. Lineage: Eukaryota; Viridiplantae; Streptophyta; Magnoliopsida; Rosales; Cannabaceae.